UACAGAGGUCUCAAGCGUUGUUCGGAUUCAUUGGGCGUAAAGGGUGUGUAGGUGGCGCCGUAAGUCGGGUGUGAAAUCUCGGGGCUUAACUCCGAAACUGCAUUCGAUACUGCGGUGCUUGAGGACUGGAGAGGAGACUGGAAUUCCAAGUGUAGCGGUGAAAUGCGUAGAGAUUUGGAGGAACACCAGUGGCGAAGGCGACUUUCUGGUCUGUAACUGACGCUGAGGCGCGAAAGCGUGGGGAGCAAACAGG
Molecule: ribosomal RNA, 253 nt
Filed under: uncultured bacterium
Lineage: Bacteria
Description: partial 16S ribosomal RNA
Rfam family: Bacterial small subunit ribosomal RNA
Source: RNAcentral